UACAGAGGUGGCAAGCGUUGUUCGGAAUUACUGGGCGUAAAGGGCGCGUAGGCGGUCAGGUCAGUCCCGUGUGAAAUCCCUCGGCUCAACUGAGGAACUGCACGGGAAACCCCAUGGCUAGAGUCCGGAAGAGGAGAGUGGAAUUCCUGGUGUAGCGGUGAAAUGCGCAGAUAUCAGGAAGAACACCAAUGGCGAAGGCAGCUCUCUGGGACGGUACUGACACUGAGACGCGAAAGCGUGGGGAGCGAACAGG
This 253-nucleotide ribosomal RNA is filed under the name uncultured bacterium. Its description in RNAcentral is "partial 16S ribosomal RNA". It matches the Rfam family "Bacterial small subunit ribosomal RNA", at positions 524 to 776 of the family's 1533-position model. The record is from RNAcentral.